Molecule: unclassified non-coding RNA, 153 nt
Filed under: uncultured Ascomycota
Lineage: Eukaryota; Fungi; Ascomycota
Description: sequence contains ITS1
Source: RNAcentral
GUCUGGCGCGACAGCUCGAUGUGCAGCCCGUCCGAUCGAGGACGUCAGGGCGCAUUGCCAGUAAACGCCCUGAAUCAGAAUCUUGGGAGAGUGUUGAACGGAUCGGCGUGCCCGGCGGCCUGGGCGGCAGUCGUCACGGAAUUAGGCUGGUCU